ACAAUUAUUGAGAAUUUUAUUACUAUUUUUUGUAGCACUCCUUAUCAAUUAAUAAUCAACAUUUCAUACAAUACACGUUAUGCACAUUAUUUUAAACAUAAGUUUACAUCAAUUUGGGGAAUAAAUUAAACAAAAAAAACAGCCAGUGGAGCCAGAACAACUGUAUUCACAUCAUUUUGCGACAGUACGACGGAAAUACGGCAGAGGCAAUUUACAGCACAAACAUUUCUUACGCUCAUUUGGCUGGUUAAUUCAACAAAAUAUAGCCCGAUAAUUUAGAUUAUAUUAGGAGGACAAACAUGAUUACAAAAAUGUAGUCAUAUUAUAUAACAGUAAAGACAUUUUGUAUCGUAAAAUUGUACAGUCAUGAAAUUGCUAGGACUUUUGUUGUCAAACGGCUACGUCACAUUGAGCACGCGCAGUAGCGAUUAACGGUACCAUGACUGCGCAUGUUUCUAACAAAUGAAAAUAUUGCUACAUUAAGCAGCUAACUAAAAGUUCAUUGUCAUUAACAUGUUAUAACUUGCGUUCAACGACAGCACAUACUAAACGUACGACAUUAUUGUCCUUUCGUUGAUUCCAACGUCACAUUCCAUCAAUAAUAAUGGUUGGAAAAAGAGAAAUUGGAAGUUUUCCAGACUCACCGUGCGAGCUCCGGUCAGUUCCAGGAAGUAGUCCUGCAUGCUCCCCAUGUCUUUGUGCGUGCUGAUAUCAACACACUCCAAAUGUCCCGGCUUGAACUGGUACUUGGACAAAACAUCCCUGGCCAUGAUACAGUACGAACAUGUGGGCUUAAUGAAGACGACCACUUUGUCGCCUUUGAUUUUGGCCUGAACAAACUGCUGCGCCAUCUUGAGCUGGGAGAGACAAGGCUGGAGUGGGGAGUGGAGGAGGAGGAGCGACGCAUCAAAAGCCUCACAUUGCCUUCCCAACGAGACCAGCCUCUUAACAGGCACCUCCACAGCCAAGCCCGAGUCCCACCAGCUGUACUCCGGUGAGAGCACGCAGCUCGGUCGGUGAGUAAUAAAGUAUCUGUUCAAGUAGCUCUCCUCACGGCCACGUGCCAUUACGCCGUUGGCUUGGUCCUUCUGAAUCAGCAUCGAACAACCUCGAGCCAGUCUGUACAUCUGUGGAACCAGCCCACCGUACAACUCUGACGUGAAGUAGUAGUCGCCUUCAGUGUUCUCAACGUAAGCAGACGACACCUCAUCCGUUUCAUACGGGAAUGCCUUCCUUGGUUUGCCGUAGAGUUCCGGAUGCAAGGUGGCCACAAGGUCGCCGAGGAUUUCUUCUCCGACGGGAGCCAGAAACUCCUGGUCGAUGUCUGCACAGAAUAUGUACUCAACGUCUCUACCAAUUUGAUCUUUGAUGGUUUCGGCCAACAGCGUCAUACGGCGGUACACCAACUUGUCCCAACCUGGGAACUCUGCAACAGAAACUACUGUCAGCCGUCGCCCAGACCCCAACUUCAUUGGAGGAUCAAAUCUGUGAGAGUUAUCUGUGAGAACGUAGUAAGUGACCAUGUGACCAGGAAGGAAGUACUCCUCAGCUGAUGAUAUGAAACGUCUCACAAAUUGGGCGUACUUUCCCACCGCGAGGGCCAACAAGCCUAUUCGGAUUUCUCGUUGUGCAAGCUCUGUUCUUCGCUUGACCGAGUAGCGGGCGUCACCCCAAACUAAAGGAGCACCCCAAGGCGUUUGCAGUGAUCCUGACUUGGCGCUGAUCGUGUCUGUCUUUUCUCCGACGUCUGCUUCCAUGGAGCGGAAGUAAGGAUGAGGGGACCUCACGUUGGCAUUGGCCUUGCGUCCGUGGAGGAAGUCUGACAAAAUAAAGCAUCAGUUUUACAACUUAAACAUGUACAACAUGUACUGGAGCCUACCCCAGAUGACUAUGGGUGAGAGGCGGGGUACAUUUUAGACCAGGGGUCUCAAACUCAAUUUACCUGGGGGCCACUGGAGCUAGGGUCUGGGUGAAGCUGGGCCGUAUCAGGUAAAAAAAAAAAAAAAAAAUAUAUAUAUAUAUAUAUAUAUAUAUAUAUAUAUAUAUAUAUAUAUAUAUAUAUAUACAUAUAAAAUAAAAAUUGAAUAAAAAUAUUAAUAAAUAUUAAUAAAUUUAUAUAAUAUAACCCUCCACUUUUUCAGUGCUUUGGGUCUUUGGAAAAGCUCUGAUAAAACAUUAAAUUAUUAUAAAUUAUGAUAAAUACAUUUUUAUUUAUUAUUAAAUUAUUAAAUAAAUGUUUAAUGUUAAUUUUUAUUUUUCAACACAAAAUAAGAUGGAAAAAUAAAUAAGCAAAUCAAAAAACAAAUGAAACAAAUUAACAGAUUUAUUUUGAUUUAUUAUUAAAUUAUUAAAUUUAUAUAAUAUAAUAUUCUUCAAUGCUUCUGCUAUACCCUCCACUUUUUCAGUGCUUUGGGUCUUUGGGAAAAGCUCUGAUAAAACAUUAAAUUAUUAUAAAUUAUGAUAAAUUAAUUUUUAUUUAUUAUUAAAUUAUUAAAUAAAUGUUUAAUGUUAAUUUUUCUUUUUGACACAAAAUAAGAUGGAAAAAUAAAUAAGCAAAUCAAAAAACAAAUUAACAAAUUAAACCUUCAUAUUAAGGCAGGGGCCUCAAACUAGUGGCCCGCUAUGUAGUAUGUUAAAUGAUGCAGUAUUAGAGGACAAACCUCCUUGUACAAUGCAUACUUACAUAUGAUAAAAGACAGUAGAAAGAAGUACAGAAGUAGAUGCAACCUGGACACUCUGACUGCUCCUGUAUGGACGAUCAGAUCAACACACAAAUUAUCCUCCGAGCUUCCUGCAGUGAAAGCAGUGAAGCUCUGGUCUUCAAAGGAAUGCAAAGAAUGUGCUUCUCAAGAUAUUUCUCCCCUCGGAACCGUGGCAUGCUGCAUUCAAUGAUAUAACCAUCAUCCGUCUGCAGUCUCUCUACACAAAUAUAGUUGAUUUUGUAAAAUAUUUUAAUGUAUGAUGCUCUAAAACAGAUGAAUUAUGAUAUAUUUUACUGACAUUUUCAUUUUUGUUAAGUGUUAACCUUUCAGUUGCAGAGUGCACAGGAAGGAAGCACAGGGAAGUGAAGGCACCACGGCGGUGUUUCACCAGGCAUAUGAUUUAAGAUGCACACAAUUCCAUUCAUCGGCAUGUUUCAGUAGCAAAUAACGUGUUAUUUGUGCAUUCUUGCAUAACACAAAGACAGCAUGACAGGAGGUGGAGUCCAACAGUGGCUCCUGUUUUACUGACCUGUUGGUGUCUUGCAGAACGGGAACAGCGCCAUGCUGUGACCUGCUGCUGGAUGAACACACAAACUCGUUGCCGAAAUGUCUCUUUCUGUCUUUCUGUCUUUCUGAAGGUGCUGUAAAACGCAAAUAUGUCGGGUUUGUGUGUCUUUUUCCUCUUUUUUUUUCUUUUUCCACUCCCUCUUUGCGUAUAUUCUCCUCCCCUCUGUUCUUCUCCACUUCUUCUCCUCACAGCAACCAGAUGUGUGCAGUCUGGGCAAUAACUAGAGCCAGAUGUGAAAAUGAUACGGGAAAACUAGUAAAAUAUAUAAAAUAGACAAAGAAUGAGAGCUAUAGUAGGAAAUAACUUUGUUAACGUGUGAUAUUUUAUGUGACCACUAGGUGGUAGAUGAUAUCAUGGCAAGUAUGAUAGGUCAUCUUUUUACACUCACCAAUUGAAUAUUCAUUCAUUUUCUACUACUUAUCCUUACAAGGGUCGCAGGGGGUGCUGGAGCCUAUCCCAGCUGUCCCCCUGGUGGCCAGCCAAUCACAGGGCACAUAUAGACAAACAACCAUUCACACUCACAUUCAUACCUAUGGACAAUUUGGAGUCGCCAAUUAACCUAGCAUGUUUUUGGAAUGUGGGAGGAAACCGGAGUACCCGGAGAAAACCCCCCCACACACAGGGAGGACAUGCAAACUCCACACAGAGAUGGCCGAGGGGGGAAUCGAACUCCAGUCUCCUAGCUGUGAGGCCUGCAGCCAUAAUGUAUAUUCAUUCAUUCAUUCAUUCAUUUUCUACGACUUUUCCUCACGAGGGUCGCGGGGGCGCUGGAGCCUAUCCCAGCUGUCUACGGGCGAGAGGCGGGGUACACCCUGGACUGGUGGCCAGCCAAUCACAGGGCACAUAUAGACAAACAACCAUUCACACUCACAUUCAUACCUAUGGACAAUUUGGAGUCGCCAAUUAACCUAGCAUGUUUUUGGAUUGUGGGAGGAGUACCCGGAGAAAACCCACGCAUGCACGGGGAGAACAUGCAAACUCCACACAGAGAUGGCCGAGGGUGGAAUCGAACUUGGGGCUCGUAGCUGUGAGGCCUGAAGCCAUAAUGUAUAUUGUAUGUCCAAAAUAAUGAAGUGUUUAUGUUGAUCUUUACACCUUAAUGCACACCUUAACUUGUGCUUUUCAAGUUUUAUAAACUGUAACAAUAAGAAGUCAUAACUGUCGUGAGUGCCUAUGUGCAAGUAUUAUUUACUGCAGAAACCAAAUUCCGCAAGAGACUCCACAGACUCCAGAGGUCAGUUUGCAGUUUAUUACGAUAAAUCUCUAAUUUUUGUACAUCCAUACAGAAUUUGCAACAUAAUUUGGAUAUUUUGAAUAACAAAAAAAGGUAAAAGAUUAUAUAAUAUAGGCUACGCUAUGAACAAAUUACAAGAUGCAGCAUUUUUCCAAAACAUCAUCCUUAUCCUGUCUUCCUGUUGGCAGAGAAGCGGUUUGGCUGGCGGUUUGGCACUGAACUACAUGGACUCUGCAUCGAGGUUUUUUCCGAUCAAUCCUUACGUACCGACUUGCUUUGAAAUACGAGGACGUAUGCGGCGGGGUCGGCAAGGUCAACUAAGGCUUUGGCAUUGAGUAGUCCGAAACCGAAGCGACUGUUCACCAUCAACCCUGCGCCAUUCCUCUUCCAGCCUGGAUUAUUAGCCAAGGGAUCAAACUCUGAAGUCCAAACCACAAUAUGCUGCAGGUCUCUCCAUGUUAGGUCUGGACUGCGGAGGAGAAGAAGGCAAGUCGCUCCCACAUCGGUUCUCUUUCUGCAUCACCACCUCCAGACCAGAAUGCAGGUCUAUCCUGAUCCUCAAUGUAAUCUUAAAGCACCAAAUGACUGACUUAUUGACUUAUUUAGUCAGUAUAGUUACUCCAGACCCCAUUCACUGUGCAAUAUCUCAUCAACCUCCAUGUGCAAUAUUAAGGGCUCUAAAUGCAAUAUACUAAGUUCUAUGUGAAGUAUUUCCAUAAUGCCUCAUAUUAACUCUCUAACAGGAUCUCAGUGUAUAGACUGGUUAUACAGUAAACCUCGGAUAUAUCGGACUCGGAUAUAUAUCGGAAAUUCGCUCACAACGGACAGAUAAAAAAAGAACCAAUUUUUCUGUAAUGCAUUUCCAAUAAAAAUUCAUUGCAUACAUAUAUCGGAUUUUUUAUAACGGAUUUCGCCUAUUUCGGACAAAAUCUCCAGUCCCGUUCCAUUGCAUUUCCAUUAAAUUUCCCUCGCAUAUAUCGGAUGGCCGCAUCGUGGCGCUCCGAUUCGCCGAAUCGUGACAGGCCGCUAUACGACGUCAUUUGCAGCAUUUGCAGCGUUUCCUGCGCGUCCAGGUACAUUGGAAACAUAGUCAAGGAAGUGCCUUUUUAUAACGGAUAAAAUCCAAUUUAUUUAAAACAGACAUUUUCCGGUAUACGCAUAUAACGGAUUUCGCUUAUAUCGGACAAAACCAGUGGGAACAAUUGAAUCCGAUAUAUCCGAGGUUUACUGUAUAUCUCAUCUCGUUUCAUAUUAUCUACAUACUGUAUUGUAUAUAACUCUGGGAAAAACUGUUGAUUUUUGUUAAUACUUGGGUUGUUUAUAUUUUUUAAUAUUUUUUAAAUAUUUUUUUAUUAUUUUUUCAUUUUUUAAAUAUUUUUCUAUAUUGUGUAUUUUGUACUGCUUAUCUGACUCUGUACUCUUGCUGCUGUGCAAUACAAAUUUCCCCACCGAGGGACGAAUAAAGGCAUAUCUUAUUUAUUCCCCAUAAUGUUUUAAGUGUGUAUCCGCAGAUGAUGUCUUCAUUUACACGCAGAGGAAAAAAACAAUCUGACACAAGCAUAUAACCGCCAUCGUACGCAUAAGAAAUACAGCCCGGCAGGCGAUGAGUCAUGCCCCUGGUAUCAUUUUCAUGCAUGCAUCCACUCAUGCUAGGAAAACGGCAGUCAUCUUCUCCAAGUCUCUUCUAUGCUGCUUUGCAGCAUUGCUCAUCCGACUCCGUCACACAUGCAGCCCCGCCCUCUCCAAUGUAAGCAAACAUCUACCGACGUCAUCAUCCUCUAACUUGUAGCGCCACCAUUUCACAUAAGCACAUAUCACAAAAAUCAUCAAAUUAGGUUUUUGACAUUGUGAUAUUGUACUUCAUUCCGCAAAGCUUUUUUUUUUAUCCUUGAUGGGUGGGUGACUCAUAAUGCUUUAGAGUGGUGGGUGGAUGUGGAAAUAUAUGAAUUGCCACUUUAAGGUAGUCAUCAUGCCUAGUUAGACAAAAUGAUUGGUAAAUGUUGUUUUUUGUGCAAAGUGGCGCAUUCUCAGCAAAUGCACAAACGAUGCACAUGGCUAAGUCAGAACCGGGGAGGAGAGAGAGAGAAAAAAGAGAUGAGUAAUCUGACACCACACUCGAUCAUACACAAAUCUGAUUGACAGCAUACAGCAGAAUAAGAGAACAAAAGGGCAGAAUUCACCUGUUCACUGGUCAGUAAUGUUGUGUAAUGGUACAGCUGCUGCCUUCUCAAGGGGACCUAUUAUGCUUUUCCCACUAUUCUGACCUAUACAUGUAGUUAGAAUGGUAUUGGUAAUGGUAAUAUUUCAUUUGAACAUGCAUCCUAUAAUCAGUUCCCAGUUCCACAUGUCCAAAAGGAGUAGGAAGAAGCAAAGCUUAUUAAAUCCUACCCCUCCAUCUGGUACUUUUACAAUCAGUAACUGUUACAUUUGUUCACUUCUUGCUUUCCUAAUAUAUUUUAAUUUUAAUUUUAAUUUUAAUUUUAAUUUUAAUUUUAAUUUUAAUUUUAAUUUUAAUUUUAAUUUUAAUUUUAAUUUUAAUUUUAAUUUUAAUUUUAAUUUUAAUUUUAAUUUUAAUUUAUUUGUAUAUUUUUUGUUAUUUCUUUAUUUUUUUCCUGUGUUUAACGAUGCCAACUUUUCACAUAAUUUAUUUAUAGUUUAUUAUCAACUCCAAUACCGUUUACCAACCCCUAUAAAGUAGAGUUGCCGGAGUGGGAGUGCCUGGAGGCGGGUCGUGGGUGGAAUAAAUUAAAACAGACCUUUUUCACAGGAAGCACAAAAUCCAAAAAAAUCUAGCUGAAUAGGUACAAAUUCUGGAAGAUCUAGAAACCUUUUCAUGCUGAUUAUUGUGUGUAGCUGCUCUAUAGGAGUCCACAACUGAAUACAAAGGGUCAAAAAAUGAGCAUAGCUAGCGGGUGUGGCCAGACACAAAAUGAAAUUACACACAGCUGUAAAACCAGUUCUCUGCUCUAACUUGGCCUCAAUGGACUAAAAAAAUCCCAUUUGGGAUAAAUUGGGAUUUAAUGCAUUGUGUUCUGCCCUGUUCCAUCCUGCUGGAUUAUAUUCUCUGCACUACUCUCAUCCCAACUCGGAUGAACUCUAUGUAACCAAUUAAGCUAAUGGCUCUUUUGGCUAGAAUGGCUUCAUUGUAUGCUGUUCUAUUAUUGUUUGUUUAUACGUUUUUUUUCCUUGUAGCACCAUUGUUAGCAUUCUGAGCACAAAACUGGGAUCAACAUGACAGGCUUCCUAACCGCCUCUGGGUGAAGAGAGCAGCAGAAAAACAUAUAUUUUUUUAUAUUUGUAGUAAUAAAUCGUGUCAAUCAUUGUUUUCAGUUGCACA
Doryrhamphus excisus (bluestripe pipefish) is the source of this 7841-nucleotide non-coding RNA. The record is from RefSeq and is a predicted model, not a curated record. Lineage: Eukaryota; Metazoa; Chordata; Actinopteri; Syngnathiformes; Syngnathidae.